GGACUACUGGGGUAUCUAAUCCUGUUUGCUCCCCACGCUGUCGCGCCUCAGUGUCAGCCACUGCCCAGCAGGCCGCCUUCGCCACCGGUGUUCUUCCGGAUCUCUACGCAUUCCACCGCUACACCCGGAAUUCCGCCUGCCUCUACAGUGCUCAAGCCUCCCAGUUCGCACGGCCGACUCGGGGUUGAGCCCCGAGCUUUCACCGCACGCUUAAGCGGCCACCUACGCGCCCUUUACGCCCAAUGAUUCCGGACAACGCUCGCACCCUCCGUAUUACCGCGGCUGCUGGCAC
This 292-nucleotide ribosomal RNA is filed under the name uncultured bacterium. Its description in RNAcentral is "partial 16S ribosomal RNA". The record is from RNAcentral.